AGAAUAAUUUCUAAAUUAAUUUAAUUGAAAAAAAUGUAGCUACUUUGUUUUACAGUAUUUUUUACAGUCAGAAGCUAUAUACGUUUUGGAAGUACGUUUCCGUUAAUUUUUAAUUUUUAUUGGAUUUAUAGAAGAAGUAUGUAGCGAGAGACAUUCAGAGCAGUGUGGCAAAGAGUUAACAGAACCACGAAACACACGUUGCACGAUUUCAAGUAGGCAAAGACAAGAUGGCCGUGACGCUUCUCUUUCGUCGGUUCGUUCGCUGUAAGGCAAACAAACUUCUUGAGAAUUCGUGGUCUAGAGAGCUCAGGGCGUACGAUAUCACCGGAUAGACGUUGGAUGACAUUAAAUAAUUGCCCUCUCGAUGCUCCACUUCCAGGACCAGUUACCCGAUACCUCGUCACGUGUAUCGAUAUGUAAACACUUUGGUUCGAUUGACUGCGAUCAACGAGUUAAUGCGCAGCGGGUCAUUGGAUCGAGAACACUAUGAUAAGAAAGUUUAGAGACUUCCUUCGUAAAUAUUACAAAGCGACGUCUUACGUUAUCGACUACGAAAUUCAUAAUGAAUUAUAUAUUUCGCGCAUAUCUACGCAAUAAUCUAACAAUCUAAUUUAAUAAAAGAAAAUAAUACUUUUUCUCCUGUGAUAGACAAUGAUACUUUCACCAGAUGCGAUAAGACACUUCAAUUCAUUGGCGUAAUUGUAAACAAUCAUAAUAAGCUGACAUAACGCCAUUGAAAAGAUAAAGUACGGAUCAUUUUUAUUCCAUUCUCAUUCAAGAAUCAGUACCAACGCAAUAUCCGCGGUUUGUAACAUAAAGUCGACACAUUGAAGCUCUCGAAGAUCAUUUGUGUCUUCCAUUCGUACAUGUUUUAUGAAUUGCACUUCUUUUCUUUCGAAGUAUAAAAUUAAUACUAACAAGUACGUAUGUACAUCUUUUUUUAUGUAGCAUACAGUACUUAAAAAAUUUGUAAGAAGAUUUUCCACCUAUUCACAUUGAUCUUCAAAAUGUGGAGCUCUACGCGAUUUCGGGAAUUAAUUAUGCCUUUCGCCAGAAAAUUUCACACAAUUUUCAGGUGAAAAGCACAAUUAGUUCUUGAAAUCGCGAACGUGUUAACAACAAUUUUGCUUUUUCAUCGAAAUGUGAUUCAAGUGAAAUGAGAAGGUAUAAUGGAAGUCCGACAUUUUGUGUUCCACGAACGGAAGUGCGUGAUGACGCUUAAGAUCUGUCGGGAACUGACAUCACGAGUAAAAUUUCCAGAUAAUCAGCCCUAAUUUCAGGAUAAUCGAUGAUGUACGAAUUCCGAGAGGAACUUAAAACAGAAAAUGGAGGGCGGUUCUAUGAUCGGGCGGAGCAUAGCUCUAACUUCUCGUUGGUCAACAGGUGAACCAAUCGUUUCUUCGAGCUUUUUCGUACCGUCUGCAAGCGCGUAUCCUGAAAUUGUAAAACUCAUUGCUCGCGAGUUAGUCGCUUCUGUAGAUACCAUUAAAAUAAGGAAAUUGUAGUUUUUCACCGAAAAAUGAAUAUCGGUAAUUAUGCAUUGUUUCUGUUAACUAAGAUAUAUAUAUGCAAUAUCUUUUCCACUUUUCUGAGUACCUACAUUUUCUUAGGAUUAACGAAAACAGUUAUCAGAAAAUA
Long non-coding RNA from Bombus impatiens (common eastern bumble bee), 1638 nucleotides. RefSeq lists it as uncharacterized. The record is from RefSeq and is a predicted model, not a curated record. The transcript has 3 exons. NCBI's taxonomy places the organism in Eukaryota, Metazoa, Arthropoda, Insecta, Hymenoptera, Apidae.